GACGAACGCUGGCGGCGUGCUUAACACAUGCAAGUCGAACGGAACGGCCCUGCUUUUGUGCGGUGCUCGAGUGGCGAACGGGUGAGCAACACGUGAGUAACCUGCACCUGCCUGUGGGGUAACUUCAGGCAAGUGAGGCUAAUACCGCCUAGGAGCUACUGCCGCUUGGUGGGGGUUGGUAAGUUUCGGUGGUUGGGGGUGGAAUGGCGGAUCAUCGGCUUGUUGGUGGGGUAGUGGCUGAGCAAGGCUUUGCCGGGUAGCCUGGCUGGUCGGGUGACCGGCCCCAUUGGGACUGGGAUACGGCCCAGACCACAACGGGAGGCAGCAGUGGGGAGGAUUGAAUAAUGGGCGGAGGCCAGAUGCAGCAACGCCGCGUGCGGGAUGAGGGGCUUCGGGUUGGGAACCGAUGCCGCCUGUGACGAGGCGUGAGUGACGGUAAUGGGUAAAGAAGCACCGGCUAACUACGUG
RNAcentral lists this ribosomal RNA (468 nucleotides) under uncultured bacterium. RNAcentral's name for it is "partial 16S ribosomal RNA". It matches the Rfam family "Bacterial small subunit ribosomal RNA", at positions 28 to 507 of the family's 1533-position model. The record is from RNAcentral.